Molecule: signal recognition particle RNA, 223 nt
Filed under: Triticum urartu
Lineage: Eukaryota; Viridiplantae; Streptophyta; Magnoliopsida; Poales; Poaceae
Description: Plant signal recognition particle RNA
Rfam family: Plant signal recognition particle RNA
Source: Rfam by way of RNAcentral
GCCGAGCUCAGUCACGAGAGCUCGUCACCCAUGUGGGAGCAUUAAGGUGGUGUGGAUGUUUGGGGUGGGCUUUGGGCCUGGGCUUGUGUUGUAAUAUUGCUGGCCUGCCCAUUCCAAGUUGGUAGUGGGCUGGGGGCUGUUGCGAAAGGAUAAGUGGAAGGAUACCAGGCCGCUGCUGGGCCCGCUCUGGCUCAAAGCCCUUCCAUAACAAACCACCAUUUUU